This 549-nucleotide small RNA is filed under the name Alternaria tenuissima. RNAcentral's name for it is "eukaryotic LSU rRNA". The stretch from base 196 to 349 matches the Rfam family "5.8S ribosomal RNA". Lineage: Eukaryota; Fungi; Ascomycota; Dothideomycetes; Pleosporales; Pleosporaceae. The record is from RNAcentral.
UCCGUAGGUGAACCUGCGGAGGGAUCAUUACACAAAUAUGAAGGCGGGCUGGAACCUCUCGGGGUUACAGCCUUGCUGAAUUAUUCACCCUUGUCUUUUGCGUACUUCUUGUUUCCUUGGUGGGUUCGCCCACCACUAGGACAAACAUAAACCUUUUGUAAUUGCAAUCAGCGUCAGUAACAAAUUAAUAAUUACAACUUUCAACAACGGAUCUCUUGGUUCUGGCAUCGAUGAAGAACGCAGCGAAAUGCGAUAAGUAGUGUGAAUUGCAGAAUUCAGUGAAUCAUCGAAUCUUUGAACGCACAUUGCGCCCUUUGGUAUUCCAAAGGGCAUGCCUGUUCGAGCGUCAUUUGUACCCUCAAGCUUUGCUUGGUGUUGGGCGUCUUGUCUCUAGCUUUGCUGGAGACUCGCCUUAAAGUAAUUGGCAGCCGGCCUACUGGUUUCGGAGCGCAGCACAAGUCGCACUCUCUAUCAGCAAAGGUCUAGCAUCCAUUAAGCCUUUUUUUCAACUUUUGACCUCGGAUCAGGUAGGGAUACCCGCUGAACUUA